GACGAACGCUGGCGGCGUGCUUAACACAUGCAAGUCGAGCGGUAAGGCCCCUUCGGGGGUACGACGAGCGGCGAGCGGGUGAGUAACACGUGAGCAACCUGCCCUUCACAUCGGGAGUAACCCCGGGAAACCGGGGCUAAUACCGGAUACGACCACCGACGGCAUCGUCUGGUGGUGGAAAGUUCCGGCGGUGGAGGAUGGGCUCGCGGCCUAUCAGCUUGUUGGUGGGGUAACGGCCCACCAAGGCGACGACGGGUAGCCGGCCUGAGAGGGUGACCGGCCACACUGGGACUGAGACACGGCCCAGACUCCUACGGGAGGCAGCAGUGGGGAAUAUUGGACAAUGGGCGAAAGCCUGAUCCAGCAACGCCGCGUGAGGGAUGACGGCC
RNAcentral lists this ribosomal RNA (389 nucleotides) under uncultured bacterium. Its description in RNAcentral is "bacterial SSU rRNA". It matches the Rfam family "Bacterial small subunit ribosomal RNA", at positions 28 to 416 of the family's 1533-position model. The record is from RNAcentral.